Molecule: ribosomal RNA, 774 nt
Filed under: uncultured Neocallimastigales
Lineage: Eukaryota; Fungi; Neocallimastigomycota; Neocallimastigomycetes; Neocallimastigales
Description: partial large subunit ribosomal RNA
Rfam family: Eukaryotic large subunit ribosomal RNA
Source: RNAcentral
CGCAUCUGUGCAUGCAGCAUAUCAAUAAGCGGAGGAAAAGAAACUAACAAGGAUUCCCCUAGUAACGGCGAGUGAAGCGGGAAGAGCUCAAAUUUGAAAUCUUAAAGGGUUUCCCUUUACGAAUUGUAGCUUAAAGAAGUGUUUUCUGUUGAGGUUUUGGUAAAAGUCCUUUGGAAUAGGACAUCAUAGAGGGUGAGAAUCCCGUAUUUGACCUUUACUUUCAACUUUGUGAUACACUUUCAAAGAGUCGGAUUGUUUGGGAAUGCAGUCCAAAAUGGGUGGUAAAUUUCAUCUAAAGCUAAAUAUUGGCGAGAGACCGAUAGCGAACAAGUACCGUGAGGGAAAGAUGAAAAGAACUUUGAAAAGAGAGUUAAACAGUACGUGAAAUUGUCAAAAGGGAAGCGUUUGACACCAGUGUUGUUUUUCUGAAAAUCAAUUAAAGAACUGUUUAUGCUAAGUUGUUUAGACUUUAUCAGCUAACUGUUUAGUUUUGAGCUUUUCUUUAAUGCACUUUUCAGUUAACAAGUCAACAUCAAUUUCUUUUGCUGUAAAAAAGCUUGAGGAAGGUGGCUUGAGAUUCGUCUUAAGUGUUUAUAGCCUCUUGCCUAUGCAGUCGGAGAGAUUGAGGUCUGCAGCGUAGAUCCUUCGGGGCUAAAUGCAUUUGUGCUAAGUUAUAGCAUUUUAUAGACAACUUGUUGACUAUGAUUUGUCUUGUAGCUUACUCGCUUAUGUUAUUUUACCUACGCUUAGGAUGUUGAACGCGCACAGAGUCUC